GGCCUAACACAUGCAAGUCGAGGGGUAUGCUUCUUCGGGAGCAGAGACCGGCGCACGGGUGCGUAACGCGUAUGCAAUCUACCUUUUACAGAGGGAUAGCCCAGAGAAAUUUGGAUUAAUACCUCAUAGUAUAUAGACUCGGCAUCGAGAUUAUAUUAAAGUCACAACGGUAAAAGAUGAGCAUGCGUCCCAUUAGCUAGUUGGUAAGGUAACGGCUUACCAAGGCUACGAUGGGUAGGGGUCCUGAGAGGGAGAUCCCCCACACUGGUACUGAGACACGGACCAGACUCCUACGGGAGGCAGCAGUGAGGAAUAUUGGACAAUGGGCGCAAGCCUGAUCCAGCCAUGCCGCGUGCAGGAUGACGGUCCUAUGGAUUGUAAACUGCUUUUAUACGAGAAGAAACACUCCGACGUGUCGGAGCUUGACGGUAUCGUAAGAAUAAGGAUCGG
This 450-nucleotide ribosomal RNA is filed under the name uncultured Flavobacteriia bacterium. RNAcentral describes it as "bacterial SSU rRNA". It matches the Rfam family "Bacterial small subunit ribosomal RNA", at positions 45 to 496 of the family's 1533-position model. Lineage: Bacteria; Pseudomonadati; Bacteroidota; Flavobacteriia. The record is from RNAcentral.